AUUGAACGCUGGCAGCAGGCCUAACACAUGCAAGUCGAACGGUAACAGGAAGAAGCUUGCUUCUUUGCUGACGAGUGGCGGACGGGUGAGUAAUGUCUGGGAAACUGCCUGAUGGAGGGGGAUAACUACUGGAAACGGUAGCUAAUACCGCAUAACGUCGCAAGACCAAAGAGGGGGACCUUCGGGCCUCUUGCCAUCGGAUGUGCCCAGAUGGGAUUAGCUAGUAGGUGGGGUAACGGCUCACCUAGGCGACGAUCCCUAGCUGGUCUGAGAGGAUGACCAGCCACACUGGAACUGAGACACGGUCCAGACUCCUACGGGAGGCAGCAGUGGGGAAUAUUGCACAAUGGGCGCAAGCCUGAUGCAGCCAUGCCGCGUGUAUGAAGAAGGCCUUCGGGUUGUAAAGUACUUUCAGCGGGGAGGAAGGGAGUAAAGUUAAUACCUUUGCUCAUUGACGUUACCCGCAGAAGAAGCACCGGCUAACUCCGUG
This 490-nucleotide ribosomal RNA is filed under the name uncultured bacterium. RNAcentral's name for it is "partial 16S ribosomal RNA". It matches the Rfam family "Bacterial small subunit ribosomal RNA", at positions 30 to 507 of the family's 1533-position model. The record is from RNAcentral.